UUUAUGGAGAGUUUGAUCCUGGCUCAGGAUGAACGCUGGCGGCGUGCCUAAUACAUGCAAGUCGAGCGAACGGACGAGAAGCUUGCUUCUCUGAUGUUAGCGGCGGACGGGUGAGUAACACGUGGAUAACCUACCUAUAAGAUUGGGAUAACUUCGGGAAACCGGAGCUAAUACCGGAUAAUAUUUUGAACCGCAUGGUUCAAAAGUGAAAGACGGUCUUGCUGUCACUUAUAGAUGGAUCCGCGCUGCAUUAGCUAGUUGGUAAGGUAACGGCUUACCAAGGCAACGAUGCAUAGCCGACCUGAGAGGGUGAUCGGCCACACUGGAACUGAGACACGGUCCAGACUCCUACGGGAGGCAGCAGUAGGGAAUCUUCCGCAAUGGGCGAAAGCCUGACGGAGCAACGCCGCGUGAGUGAUGAAGGUCUUCGGAUCGUAAAACUCUGUUAUUAGGGAAGAACAUAUGUGUAAGUAACUGUGCACAUCUUGAC
RNAcentral lists this ribosomal RNA (490 nucleotides) under Staphylococcus aureus. RNAcentral's name for it is "bacterial SSU rRNA". It matches the Rfam family "Bacterial small subunit ribosomal RNA", at positions 1 to 473 of the family's 1533-position model. The record is from RNAcentral. Lineage: Bacteria; Bacillati; Bacillota; Bacilli; Caryophanales; Staphylococcaceae.